RNAcentral lists this ribosomal RNA (447 nucleotides) under uncultured organism. RNAcentral's name for it is "partial 16S ribosomal RNA". It matches the Rfam family "Bacterial small subunit ribosomal RNA", at positions 333 to 797 of the family's 1533-position model. The record is from RNAcentral.
ACACUCCUACGGGAGGCAGCAGUGGGGAAUAUUGGACAAUGGGCGCAAGCCUGAUCCAGCCAUGCCGCGUGAGUGAUGAAGGCCCUAGGGUUGUAAAGCUCUUUCACCGGUGAAGAUAAUGACGGUAACCGGAGAAGAAGCCCCGGCUAACUUCGUGCCAGCAGCCGCGGUAAUACGCAGGGGGCUAGCGUUGUUCGGAUUUACUGGGCGUAAAGCGCACGUAGGCGGACUAUUAAGUCAGGGGUGAAAUCCCGGGGCUCAACCCCGGAACUGCCUUUGAUACUGGUAGUCUUGAGUUCGAGAGAGGUGAGUGGAAUUCCGAGUGUAGAGGUGAAAUUCGUAGAUAUUCGGAGGAACACCAGUGGCGAAGGCGGCUCACUGGCUCGAUACUGACGCUGAGGUGCGAAAGCGUGGGGAGCAAACAGGAUUAGAUACCCGAGUAGUCCC